Molecule: transfer RNA, 68 nt
Filed under: Zorka agnesae
Lineage: Eukaryota; Metazoa; Arthropoda; Insecta; Hemiptera; Cicadellidae
Description: tRNA-Ser
Source: RNAcentral
AAGAGAUUUAUUGAAUAAAAGUAGCUGCUAACUAACUUUUAAAGCGGUUCAAAUCCGUUUAUCUCUUU